Molecule: long non-coding RNA, 238 nt
Filed under: Mytilus galloprovincialis (Mediterranean mussel)
Lineage: Eukaryota; Metazoa; Mollusca; Bivalvia; Mytilida; Mytilidae
Source: RNAcentral
GGGGGGGCUAGGAUGAAAAAUUUUGUCCUGCAUUUUUUUUAGUUGUAAUCCCUGUCCUGCCUUUUUAUUUUUCACUCUAUUCAGUCCUGCCUUUUUUCUUUUAGUUUAUCCUGACUUUUUUUACCUAUAAAUUGUCAUCCUGACUUUUUUUUUUGCAAGUGUCUCAUCCUGCCUUUUUUUUUUACUCAAAACUCCUGUCCUGCCUAUUUUUUCAAAUUUCAUCCUAGCCCCCCCCCCC